GGGGAAUAUUGGACAAUGGGCGAAAGCCUGAUCCAGCAACGCCGCGUGAGGGAUGACGGCCUUCGGGUUGUAAACCUCUUUCAGUAGGGACGAAGCGCAAGUGACGGUACCUACAGAAGAAGCACCGGCCAACUACGUGCCAGCAGCCGCGGUAAUACGUAGGGUGCGAGCGUUGUCCGGAAUUAUUGGGCGUAAAGGGCUCGUAGGCGGUUUGUUACGUCGGGAGUGAAAACCCAGGGCUCAACCCUGGGCCUGCUUCCGAUACGGGCAGACUAGAGGUAUGCAGGGGGGAACGGAAUUCCUGGUGUAGCGGUGAAAUGCGCAGAUAUCAGGAGGAACACCGGUGGCGAAGGCGGUUCUCUGGGCAUUACCUGACGCUGAGGAGCGAAAGUGUGGGGAGCGAAC
This 405-nucleotide ribosomal RNA is filed under the name uncultured bacterium. RNAcentral's name for it is "bacterial SSU rRNA". It matches the Rfam family "Bacterial small subunit ribosomal RNA", at positions 356 to 773 of the family's 1533-position model. The record is from RNAcentral.